AUUGGCUCAGACAGCACAAUCUUGUUUUUGUUUUCUCUGCUCGCUUUUGCUUUUGGCACGGACCAUCACCGGAGUUUUCGCUGCGUUUACUGUGCAGUUUUCGGAGUUUCCGUGGUUUCUUCAACGGUUCUGCACGACGAUUGCAGGUCCACACAACCAAUCCGAAUGGGUGGCCGGAAGAAACCGGUGCGUUUGGCGAAAAACAUUGGAGGCGAAAUGAAUUGCAUCGUAGCCUCUAGCAGACGAAAAAAAAACCGGGAUUGUUUUGAGACAACCCUGCGAAAUAACCGGAGAGAAACGGGAUUGUUUCUGUAAACUCUCUUCCACGCAUUCUCCCUCGAUGGCUUCCCUACAUCCAGUAGCGCUGGAGCUACGAUACCAACCUUUCGUUUUACCUAUGGCUGGGGAGGAUCUUCUACAGGAGGAAACCAGUUUUAAUUUUCAUUGUUAUGUAAGUAAUCCAAACUUAAUAAAGAUAAAAUAAAUAAA
Long non-coding RNA from Uranotaenia lowii, 489 nucleotides. RefSeq lists it as uncharacterized. Lineage: Eukaryota; Metazoa; Arthropoda; Insecta; Diptera; Culicidae. The record is from RefSeq and is a predicted model, not a curated record. The transcript has 2 exons.